RNAcentral lists this ribosomal RNA (355 nucleotides) under uncultured fungus. Its description in RNAcentral is "eukaryotic LSU rRNA". The stretch from base 1 to 113 matches the Rfam family "5.8S ribosomal RNA", at positions 42 to 154 of the family's 154-position model. Lineage: Eukaryota; Fungi. The record is from RNAcentral.
AACGCAGCGAAGGGCGAUACGUAAUGUGAAUUGCAGAAUUCAGUGAAUCUUCGAAUCUUUGAACGCAUCUUGCGCUCCGGGGUAUUCCUCGGAGCAUGCCUGUUUGAGUGUCGUGGAAAUCUCAACCCCGUCCGGGUUUUUUAUUCGGUAGAUGGGCUUUGGAUCGUGACUGUUUGCUGGCCUUGUAAAGAGACCCAGCUCGGUCGAAAUACAAGAGUGGCUGAUUCCCAAUCCGGCCUGACUCGGCGUGAUAAUCACACUUCGCCGAUUACGGAUGGGGUGAUAAAGGCUGCUUCCAAGAUAUAUUACUUUUGAACUAGACCUCAAAUCAGGUAGGACUACCCGCUGAACUUAA